UUUGCCUACGGGGGGCAGCAGUCGGGAAUAUUGCGCAAUGGAGGAAACUCUGACGCAGUGACGCCGCGUAUAGGAAGAAGGUUUUCGGAUUGUAAACUAUUGUCGUGAGGGAAGAAAUUGACAGUACCUCAGGAGGAAGCUCCGGCUAACUAUGUGCCAGCAGCCGCGGUAAUACGUAGGGGGCAAGCGUUAUCCGGAUUUACUGGGUGUAAAGGGAGCGUAGGUGGCAGGGCAAGUCAGAUGUGAAAACCCGGGGCUCAACUCCGGGAGUGCAUUUGAAACUGUCCAGCUAGAGUGCAGGAGAG
This 305-nucleotide ribosomal RNA is filed under the name uncultured bacterium. RNAcentral's name for it is "bacterial SSU rRNA". It matches the Rfam family "Bacterial small subunit ribosomal RNA", at positions 334 to 656 of the family's 1533-position model. The record is from RNAcentral.